RNAcentral lists this ribosomal RNA (44 nucleotides) under Ilyonectria sp. Its description in RNAcentral is "partial 28S ribosomal RNA". The record is from RNAcentral. RNAcentral also lists the same sequence under 1 other name. Lineage: Eukaryota; Fungi; Ascomycota; Sordariomycetes; Hypocreales; Nectriaceae.
GUUUGACCUCGGAUCAGGUAGGAAUACCCGCUGAACUUAAGCAU